This 720-nucleotide ribosomal RNA is filed under the name Triticum aestivum (bread wheat). Its description in RNAcentral is "partial small subunit ribosomal RNA". The record is from RNAcentral. Lineage: Eukaryota; Viridiplantae; Streptophyta; Magnoliopsida; Poales; Poaceae.
AUGGCCGGAGGCGGAGGAGACGAGGAGGUGACGCUGCUGGGCCACUGGGGGAGCGCGUACGUGACACGAGUCCGGCUAGCGCUGCACCUCAAGGGCGUGCGGUACGAGUACGUGGAGGAGGACCUGCGCAACAAGAGCGACCUCCUCCUCCGCUGCAACCCCGUCCACCGCGCCGUGCCGGUGCUCAUCCACAACGGCCGCCCCGUCUGCGAGUCCCAGAUCAUCCUCCAGUACAUCGACCAGGCCUUCGGACCUCCCACUCUCCUCCCCGCCGACCCGCACGAGCGCGCGGUCGCCCGGUUCUGGGCAGCCUACGCCGACGACGUGCUGGGGGCGCCGUGGGAGAAGGCGUACAGGGCCCGCACCGAGGAGGAGCGGGCCGGGUGGAUGAGGCGGGUGGUGGCGGCCACGGACGCGCUGGAGCGGGGGCUGAGCGAGUGCACCGACGGGGGCAAGAAGGGCUGCUUCUUCGGCGGCGAGCGGGUCGGGUUCGUCGACGUCGUGCUGGGCGGCGUUGUCCCGCUGGUGCACGCCACCGUGGAGAUCUCCGGGGACAUGCUCUUCGGCGACGCCGGGAGGACGCCGCUGCUUGCCACCUGGCUGCAGCGCUUCGGCGAGCUCGACGCCGCCAAGGCGCUCCUGCCGGACGUCGACCGGGUCGUGGACUACGUCAGGAUGAUACACGCCAAGAACGCCGCUGUCAAGGCUUCUGCGAAUUAA